RNAcentral lists this ribosomal RNA (253 nucleotides) under uncultured bacterium. Its description in RNAcentral is "partial 16S ribosomal RNA". It matches the Rfam family "Bacterial small subunit ribosomal RNA", at positions 524 to 776 of the family's 1533-position model. The record is from RNAcentral.
GACAGAGGGUGCAAACGUUGUUCGGAAUUACUGGGCGUAAAGCGUGUGUAGGCGGCCAUAUAAGUCGGAUGUGAAAGCCCAGGGCUCAACCCUGGAAGUGCACUCGAUACUGUAUGGCUCGAGUACUGGAGAGGUUGGUGGAAUUCUCGGUGUAGAGGUGAAAUUCGUAGAUAUCGAGAGGAACACCGGUGGCGAAGGCGGCCAACUGGACAGAUACUGACGCUGAGGCACGAAAGCGUGGGGAGCAAACAGG